This 497-nucleotide ribosomal RNA is filed under the name uncultured bacterium. RNAcentral describes it as "partial 16S ribosomal RNA". It matches the Rfam family "Bacterial small subunit ribosomal RNA", at positions 28 to 507 of the family's 1533-position model. The record is from RNAcentral.
GAUGAACGCUGGCGGCGUGCCUAAUACAUGCAAGUCGAGCGAACAGACGAGGAGCUUGCUCCUCUGACGUUAGCGGCGGACGGGUGAGUAACACGUGGAUAACCUACCUAUAAGACUGGGAUAACUUCGGGAAACCGGAGCUAAUACCGGAUAAUAUAUUGAACCGCAUGGUUCAAUAGUGAAAGACGGUUUUGCUGUCACUUAUAGAUGGAUCCGCGCCGCAUUAGCUAGUUGGUAAGGUAACGGCUUACCAAGGCAACGAUGCGUAGCCGACCUGAGAGGAGGAUGAGCCACAGGGGAACUGAGACACGGGCCAGACUAAGACGGGAGGCAGAAGUGGGGAAGAUUGGACAAGGGGCGAAAGCCGGAUCCAGCCAUAAAGCGUGGGUGAAGAAGGUCUUAGGGGUGUAAAGCGCUUUUGUUGGGAAAGAAAAGAAGCAGGUGAAUAACCCGCUGUUAGGACGGGAGACAAAGAAUAAGCAAAGGCGAAAUUCGUG